AUAGCGCUGCCGCCGGGCAGCAAAAUGCAAUGCAUUUGCCAAUACAUCGUUAGGCCUUUGAAGAUGUAUCGGUAAAUGCAUUUUCUAU
Molecule: non-coding RNA, 88 nt
Filed under: unclassified sequences
Source: RNAcentral